UGCCAGCCGCCGCGGUAAUACGUAGGGUGCGAGCGUUGUCCGGAAUUACUGGGCGUAAAGGGCUCGUAGGUGGUUUGUCGCGUCGUCUGUGAAAUUCCGGGGCUUAACUCCGGGCGUGCAGGCGAUACGGGCAUAACUUGAGUACUGUAGGGGUAACUGGAAUUCCUGGUGUAGCGGUGAAAUGCGCAGAUAUCAGGAGGAACACCGAUGGCGAAGGCAGGUUACUGGGCAGUUACUGACGCUGAGGAGCGAAAGCAUGGGUAGCGAACAGGAUUAGAUACCCUGGUAGUC
RNAcentral lists this ribosomal RNA (291 nucleotides) under uncultured Actinomycetales bacterium. RNAcentral describes it as "partial 16S ribosomal RNA". It matches the Rfam family "Bacterial small subunit ribosomal RNA", at positions 506 to 795 of the family's 1533-position model. Lineage: Bacteria; Bacillati; Actinomycetota; Actinomycetes; Actinomycetales. The record is from RNAcentral.